AACCACAGUGCAAAAAGGGAGGACCUGGCACGCAAAUAACCCUUCCAAUACCAAAACACGCGGAUCUAGCCGCAUCUAGGUCGGGUCAACAGGUCUGGCUCAAUAUGGCACCGUUUUGGAGCCAUUGGAACGGGCCUCAAACGGUGCCGUUUUAAGGUCUGUGUAAAGCUAAAAAAACAAACAAAAAAAAAACACAAAGGCAUUAAGCCAUUUUACAACAGAUUUGUAAACCCUAGCCUUCCUCACGCCGUUCUCAAGGUCGAAUCCCUUCGUCUCCGAUGCGCGCCCAGGUAAGGUUUCUCCUCGCCUUCUC
RNAcentral lists this long non-coding RNA (313 nucleotides) under Gossypium raimondii (Peruvian cotton). RNAcentral describes it as "long non-coding RNA (GRAI_LNC003931)". The record is from RNAcentral. Lineage: Eukaryota; Viridiplantae; Streptophyta; Magnoliopsida; Malvales; Malvaceae.